GAUGAACGCUGGCGGCGUGCCUAAUCCAUGCAAGUCGAGCGAACAGACGAGGAGCUUGCUCCUCUGACGUUAGCGGCGGACGGGUGAGUAACACGUGGAUAACCUACCUAUAGACUGGGAUAACUUCGGGAAACCGGAGCUAAUACCGGAUAAUAUAUUGAACCGCAUGGUUCAAUAGUGAAAGACGGUUUUGCUGUCACUUAUAGAUGGAUCCGCGCCGCAUUAGCUAGUUGGUAAGGUAACGGCUUACCAAGGCGACGAUGCGUAGCCGACCUGAGAGGGUGAUCGGCCACACUGGAACUGAGACACGGUACAGACUCCUACGGGAGGCAGCAGUAGGGAAUCUUCCGCAAUGGGCGAAAGCCUGACGGAGCAACGCCGCGUGAGUGAUGAAGGUCUUCGGAUCGUAAAACUCUGUUAUUAGGGAAGAACAAAUGUGUAAGUAACUAUGCACGUCUUGACGGUACCUAAUCAGAAAGCCACGGCUAACUACGUG
RNAcentral lists this ribosomal RNA (496 nucleotides) under uncultured bacterium. RNAcentral's name for it is "partial 16S ribosomal RNA". It matches the Rfam family "Bacterial small subunit ribosomal RNA", at positions 28 to 507 of the family's 1533-position model. The record is from RNAcentral.